RNAcentral lists this ribosomal RNA (475 nucleotides) under uncultured bacterium. RNAcentral's name for it is "bacterial SSU rRNA". It matches the Rfam family "Bacterial small subunit ribosomal RNA", at positions 26 to 518 of the family's 1533-position model. The record is from RNAcentral.
AGGACGAACGCUGGCGGCGUGCCUAACACAUGCAAGUCGAGCGAGGAGAUCCUUCGGGAUGAUCCUAGCGGCGGACGGGUGAGUAACACGUGGGCAACCUGCCUCAUAGAGAGGAAUAGCCUUCCGAAAGGGAGAUUAAUACCUCAUAACAUUGCAGUUUCGCAUGGAACAGCAAUUAAAGGAGUAAUCCGCUAUGAGAUGGGCCCGCGGCGCAUUAGCUAGUUGGUGAGGUAACGGCUCACCAAGGCGACGAUGCGUAGCCGACCUGAGAGGGUGAUCGGCCACAUUGGGACUGAGACACGGCCCAGACUCCUACGGGAGGCAGCAGUGGAGAAUAUUGCACAAUGGGGGAAACCCUGAUGCCAGCAACGCCGCGUGAGUGAUGACGGCCUUCGGGUUGUAAAGCACUGUCUUCAGGGACGAUAAUGACGGUACCUGAGGAGGAAGCCACGGCUAACUACGUGCCAGCCGCGGC